Magallana angulata is the source of this 2571-nucleotide long non-coding RNA. RefSeq lists it as uncharacterized. The record is from RefSeq and is a predicted model, not a curated record. The transcript has 3 exons. NCBI's taxonomy places the organism in Eukaryota, Metazoa, Mollusca, Bivalvia, Ostreida, Ostreidae.
UUCCGAGCGAAGGUUAAAAUGGACAAGAAGGUACUGUUGUAAAAUGGAGAAUUGAGAAGCAUAAAUAGCCUCUACAACAAGGAGAUAAUGCAGGAACGAAGAACUCAUGUCAAGCAUACAAAGUCAAUGUUUCCGGUGAUUAGUUGCAUCCUCUGUUCGGUGAUUCGGGUGAAUGUUUUGACCAGCUGGACGAUGUGAACGCAAGAUAAAUAGAACAGACAUAAAGUACAGCCCAGUGAAAGGAACAAGUUCAUCGCAAGAAGAAGAGUUUUAAUGCUACCACUGUCCAGAACUACUAAGUCUGCUGUAGCCAUGAUGUGAUCAUAUGAGUGCUUCACCGGUCUGGACAAUGCUCGAAAGUCCCCCAAAAAGGCCUAUUUCCAUAAACUACGACUCGGGUUACAUCAACAACAGCCAAGGACACUCCUAAUUGAUUCGAAUGGACACAUCUCUACGACCCGACUAAACCUCUGCAGAACAAGACUUUUUAACUGUAAAGUAUUCUCAUUUCAAAAAACCUAUAAACUAUAAAAGUACUUUUUUAUAUGAUCAAAUACCAGUAUAUUACAAUGUCUGUCUGUAAGCUAGAAUCUUAGAAAAAUCACAUGGUUUUGACUUAUUAAAUGAUUGAUAAGACCUUGCAGAUAUUAACUUUCAUUUUCUUAAAUAAUUUGUUAUAUUUGCAAAUAUUGCAUAAAAUAUUAGACUCCAUGUAACAUAUAUCCCCACACCUCCAAGUUGAUGAGUGUUAACUCCUUUUUUUCCCAUUUUCUUUGUUUAAACAUUUAUUGAUAACUUAGUUUUUAUUUGCAGCAAUAUAUGAAAAAUUAAGAAACCAAUCUUAAAUGUAAAAACACUGCAUUAGGAGAUGAAUGCAUGGGUCAUAGAAAUGAUAAAAUACACCAAACAAUAUUCAAUUAUGUCGUAUAUGAAAAUAUAUAAAGACAACAUAUACCCCAUGUAUUACAAUUUUUAUAUAACAAAAUUACUUGGAUGGAAAGUUAUUUCGAUGUGGGUUUUAUUUUAAUCUGUGUUAUGUAACUAAUAUAUAAUUGGAAUUAGCUUUUAUAUCAUAAGUAAAAUGCUGGUAUUGAUGAGAAUUGUAAGGUGAAUGAUCUGUGUGAUACUUUGUAUUUUAUACAUUCAUGCUACAAAAAGCAAGUACAUGUACAUGUAGUAAUACUUGUCAUUUAUAAACAAUGUAUAUUUUACUUCAUGUCUUGGAUUUAAAAAUAUUAAUGUAGGUAAAGUAGUGAAAUGUAGGAAGGUAAACCGUGUGUAAAGAAGAAUAUUCAUCAGGAAUGAAGUGUGUUGCAAUCAGCAUAAUUAAUUACCGGUAAAUGUGUACAUCAUAGUUUUGCACAUGAUUUGACAGGCUGCUCCAUUGUUAGCUUUUUACUGGCCAACAAGCUUUUCAUAUCUCCCUCUGGGUCAUCUCUUAAAUACUGACAGUCUUAUGAUAUUAAAAUCUGAUCAGUUGGUACAUCAUGGGUGGAAAUGAAAAGUUCACUUUGGACUUAAUGGAUUAUCAAAAAAAAUGAUAUCAAAUCCUGUUCUAUUGUAAAACAUUAGAUUAUACAUGUAUUACUAACAAAGAAAAGGUUUAUCCCAACUUGUAAGUGGGUCACUUUGACCUCAUUUUGGAAUUUAUUGACAUAUUCAAAUCAAAUCUGGGUCAUACCUCUAUAGUCAACUAGUAUCUUGUAGUGUAUAUAUUUUUUUUUUUUUAAAGAUGGAUACUUUAGACUUUUCAAAAAUAUUUUAUGGUGUACAUAUUCAUUGUAGUUCAAAACAAAUUGAGACAAGUGUAUCAUGUUCAUGUAACAGUGAAGUUUUCAUUGUUUAUUCAUGUACGUGCAGUUAUUUUGUAAAUUGCAUUCAUAUUUUUUAAAAAAGUAAGAUCUUUGUUGCAUUUUUAAAGGGAGAUUUGAUAGGCAUUUAAUCGAGAUGAAAAAAAAUACAAAUGUAAAGAUUUCUAUUGGAGUUUUUUUUCUUGUGCAAUUUUAUCAUUUUUUAAACUAAAGUCCCUAAUAAGGGAAUUGCCAUAUGGAUGUUUCUCGAUUAUUGUAUCUUGGCUGUAUUUUAUUUAUUAUUGGAAACAAUUUCAGAUUUUUGAACAAAAUAAAUUUGGAACUGUUUGAAACUGUUUUGUUUUUACAUAAAGUAGAAACCUUGCUCAGCUUUUGUGAAAGCAAAAAUAUAAAAAGUUUCAGUAAGUUUCAGUUGCGGAAACCCUUUGUAAACAAUAUGUUUCCCAAUUGUAUAUGGAGGUUGAAACUAUGCAGAAACUUCAAGUUUCAGUAAGUUUCCAUCGCGGAAACCAUUUGUAAACAAUAUGUAUCCCAAACGUAUAUGGAGAUUGAAACUAUGCAGAAACUUCAAGUUUCAGUAAGUUUCCGUUGCGGAAACCAUUUGGAUUCAUGGACAGCCUAAGUUUCAGCACUGCGGAAACUUAAUGAAACUUGAAGUUUCCGUGCUGAAACCUGUCGGAAACUUAAAGUAACCUUAAGUUUCCGCAGAGUUUCCAAAGGGUUUCCGCAGCGCUGAAACCAGAUAUUUCAUCCAGUGUUA